AUUGGGAACAUUUGGCAUACAU
Molecule: microRNA, 22 nt
Filed under: Rattus norvegicus (Norway rat)
Lineage: Eukaryota; Metazoa; Chordata; Mammalia; Rodentia; Muridae
Description: Rno-Mir-450-P3b_3p* (star (passenger))
Source: RNAcentral